This is a non-coding RNA of Cinara cedri, 288 nucleotides long. NCBI's taxonomy places the organism in Eukaryota, Metazoa, Arthropoda, Insecta, Hemiptera, Aphididae. The record is from the annotation of a GenBank genome assembly.
GAGCACAAGUUUGCUCCAUUAGCCUAUAAGACAUUCAGAUAAAUAAAGAUGCAUGUUUCUCAAAGUUUUGUAUCCAUUCAGGUAAACAGUAAUAUAAAUGGUGGGUAAAAAUGCUAACAAGAUUUUGUUUCAUUUCUGCUAACUGGGUGCUUUCCUACAUAUUCUGCCAACAUUUUAGGAUCUAUUUUUCGUAUAAAGCCACUGCUCUUUGCUGAUUUUAAGCUUUCCCUAUCUGCUUUAGUAACCGUUCACACCCCAACUAUGGAUUAACCAACGCAGUAAAACUGA